AAAUGUAGAAAUUACGAUCCAAAAAGGCAAAGGCAAAGGUAAGUUUAACACAUUUUUAAUUAUUUCAUUAACAUUUAAUUUGAAUGCUUACAUUUUGCUUUCUCAAUCUUGCAGGUGGCAGACCAACCAUUAGCAGACCAGGAA
Molecule: non-coding RNA, 144 nt
Filed under: Proboscia inermis
Lineage: Eukaryota; Bacillariophyta; Melosirophyceae; Probosciales; Probosciaceae
Source: RNAcentral